This 300-nucleotide ribosomal RNA is filed under the name uncultured Methanocella sp. Its description in RNAcentral is "bacterial SSU rRNA". It matches the Rfam family "Bacterial small subunit ribosomal RNA", at positions 496 to 795 of the family's 1533-position model. Lineage: Archaea; Methanobacteriati; Methanobacteriota; Methanomicrobia; Methanocellales; Methanocellaceae. The record is from RNAcentral.
GCGUAUUUGGUGCCUGCGGCCUGUGUAAUGCAGGGUGUCCGAGCGUUUUUCGGAUUCACUGGGCGUAAAGGGUUGGUAGGCGGUUCUGAAAGUGUGAUGUGAAAUCUCCGGGCCCAACCCGGAAAUGGCAUUAGAAACUACAGGGCUAGAGGGUUGGAGGGGGAACUGGAAUUCUCGGUGUAGCAGUGAAAUGCGUAGAGAUCGAGAGGAACACCAGUGGCGAAGGCGAGUUCCUGGACAAGUCCUGACGCUGAGGCACGAAAGCCAGGGGAGCAAACAGGAUUAGAUACCCGAGUAGUC